This 573-nucleotide ribosomal RNA is filed under the name Enteromius jae (Jae barb). Its description in RNAcentral is "partial 16S ribosomal RNA". It matches the Rfam family "Bacterial large subunit ribosomal RNA", at positions 1844 to 2603 of the family's 2925-position model. The record is from RNAcentral. Lineage: Eukaryota; Metazoa; Chordata; Actinopteri; Cypriniformes; Cyprinidae.
UAUAAGAGGUCCAGCCUGCCCAGUGACCACAAGUUUAACGGCCGCGGUAUUUUAACCGUGCAAAGGUAGCGCAAUCACUUGUCCUUUAAAUAAGGACCUGUAUGAACGGCUAAACGAGGGCUUAGCUGUCUCCCAUUUUAAGUCAGUGAAAUUGAUUUAUCCGUGCAGAAGCGGAUAUAAAUAUACAAGACGAGAAGACCCUUUGGAGCUUAAGGCACAGUACUUAAUCACGUCAAACAACUCAAUAAAAAGCAAUUUGAACUUUGUGGCCGUAAGAAUACUGCCUUCGGUUGGGGCGACCAUGGAGAAAAAGGAAUCCUCCAAGUGGGCUGGGCUAAUUUCCCCUCCCCUAAAACUAAGAGAGACAUCUCUAAGACGCAGAAUAUCUGACCAUAAAUGAUCCGGCUAACCAAGACCGAUCAACGAACCAAGUUACCCUAGGGAUAACAGCGCAAUCCUCUCCAAGAGACCCUAUCGACAAGAGGGUUUACGACCUCGAUGUUGGAUCAGGACAUCCUAAUGGUGCAGCCGCUAUUAAGGGUUCGUUUGUUCAACGAUUAAAGUCCUACGUGA